CCCGACCUCCAACCCUUUGUGAACCAACUCUGUUGCUUCGGGGGCGACCCCGCCGUUUCGGCGACGGCGCCCCCGGAGGUAUUCAAACACUGCAUCUUUGCGUCGGAGUCUUAAAGUAAAUUUAAACAAAACUUUCAACAACGGAUCUCUUGGUUCUGGCAUCGAUGAAGAACGCAGCGAAAUGCGAUAAGUAAUGUGAAUUGCAGAAUUCAGUGAAUCAUCGAAUCUUUGAACGCACAUUGCGCCCUGUGGUAUUCCGCAGGGCAUGCCUGUUCGAGCGUCAUUUCACCACUCAAGCCUAGCUUGGUAUUGGGCGUCGCGAUUUCCGCGCGCCUUAAAGUCUCCGGCUGAGCAGUUCGUCUCUAAGCGUUGUGAUUUUCAAAUCGCUGAAGAGUUCGGGCGGCGACGGCCGUUAAAUCCGGCGAGUGAAGCGGCAACAGCUCAAAUUUGAAAUCUGGCGCANGCCCGAGUUGUAAUUUGUAGAGGAUGCUUCUGGCCAGCGGCCGUUCUAAGUUCCUUGGAACAGGACGUCAUAGAGGGUGAGAAUCCCGUAUGUGACCGGCGCGCAGCCUUUACGUAGCUCCUUCGACGAGUCGAGUUGUUUGGGAAUGCAGCUCUAAAUGGGAGGUAAAUUUCUUCUAAAGCUAAAUACCGGCCAGAGACCGAUAGCGCACAAGUAGAGUGAUCGAAAGAUGAAAAGCACUUUGGAAAGAGAGUUAAAAAGCACGUGAAAUUGUUGAAAGGGAAGCGCUUGCAACCAGACUUCGUAGCGAUGUUCCGCCGGUCUUCUGACCGGUCUACUCAUCGUCGCGAGGCCAACAUCGUCUGGGGCCGCCGGAUAAGACCUAAGGAAUGUAGCUUCCCUCGGGAAGUGUUAUAGCCUUUGGUGAUGCGGCGCGUCUCGGGCGAGGUCCGCGCUUCGGCAAGGAUGUUGGCGUAAUGGUUGUCAGCGGCCCGUCUUGAAACACGGACCAAGGAGUCUAACAUCUAUGCGAGUGUUCGGGUGUCAAACCCCUACGCGUAAUGAAAGUGAACGGAGGUGGGAAGCGCAAGCUGCACCAUCGACCGAUCCUGAUGUCCUCGGAUGGAUUUGAGUAAGAGCAUA
This 1105-nucleotide small RNA is filed under the name Mycosphaerellaceae sp. TG01. RNAcentral describes it as "eukaryotic LSU rRNA". The stretch from base 408 to 1105 matches the Rfam family "Eukaryotic large subunit ribosomal RNA", at positions 1 to 804 of the family's 3401-position model. The record is from RNAcentral. Lineage: Eukaryota; Fungi; Ascomycota; Dothideomycetes; Mycosphaerellales; Mycosphaerellaceae.